Vicia faba (fava bean) is the source of this 288-nucleotide non-coding RNA. The record is from the annotation of a GenBank genome assembly. NCBI's taxonomy places the organism in Eukaryota, Viridiplantae, Streptophyta, Magnoliopsida, Fabales, Fabaceae.
AUGGUGAUGAAGAGAGAAGGAGUCUGCGUGAUGAAGGUUUUUGUAGAGGUAGAAAGAGGUGAAAGAUGGAGAAGGUUGAGGAUGAAGAUGAGAAUUCUUCUGAAAUCACGGAUAUUCCAAGUACAUCAUCAACUUUACUUGGUGAAUGCAAUACUUGAAAAGGUUUGGUUAUUGGAUUCGACCGUAGCAUCUAUUCAAUGGGAGGUUGGUUUGAUUGAUGCGUUAAUCUCACACCAAAAGUGGCAUAGCAGUAGUUCCAAAUUACUUCCGACAUCAGCAACAUGUUGA